AUUGAACGCUGGCGGCAUGCUUUACACAUGCAAGUCGAACGGUAGAGGGGGCAACCCCUUGAGAGUGGCGAACGGGUGAGUAAUGCAUCGGAACGUGCCCAGUCGUGGGGGAUAACGCAGCGAAAGCUGUGCUAAUACCGCAUACGAUCUCUGGAUGAAAGCGGGGGACCGAAAGGCCUCGCGCGAUUGAAGCGGCCGAUGUCAGAUUAGGUAGUUGGUGGGGUAAAGGCCUACCAAGCCAACGAUCUGUAGCUGGUCUGAGAGGACGACCAGCCACACUGGGACAGAGACACGGCCCAGACACCUACGGGAGGCAGCAGUGGGGAAUUUUGGACAAUGGGCGCAAGCCUGAUCCAGCAAUGCCGCGUGCAGGAAGAAGGCCUUCGGGUUGUAAACUGCUUUUGUACGGAACGAAACGGUCUGGGUUAAUACCCUGGGCUAAUGACGGUACCGUAAGAAUAAGCACCGGCUAACUACGUGCCAGCCGCCGCCGUAA
This 496-nucleotide ribosomal RNA is filed under the name uncultured bacterium. RNAcentral describes it as "partial 16S ribosomal RNA". It matches the Rfam family "Bacterial small subunit ribosomal RNA", at positions 30 to 523 of the family's 1533-position model. The record is from RNAcentral.